AAAGUCGUAACAAGGUUUCCGUAGGUGAACCUGCGGAAGGAUCAUUACCGAGUUAGGGUUCGUCCAACGAGCCCGACCUCCCAACCCUUUGUCUAUCCUACCUUGUCGUUGCUUCGGCGGACCGGCCGUGACCGACUGGUCGUGGCCGCCGGGGGUCCACCCCCUGGAGAGCGUCCGCCGACGGCCCAACCACAAACUCUUGUACCAAACCAUGUCGUCUGAAUUACUUGAUUGAAAUCAAAAAACAAAACUUUCAACAACGGAUCUCUUGGUUCUG
RNAcentral lists this unclassified non-coding RNA (277 nucleotides) under Ascomycota sp. RNAcentral's name for it is "partial contains small subunit ribosomal RNA, internal transcribed spacer 1, and 5.8S ribosomal RNA". The stretch from base 1 to 47 matches the Rfam family "Eukaryotic small subunit ribosomal RNA", at positions 1785 to 1831 of the family's 1831-position model. Lineage: Eukaryota; Fungi; Ascomycota. The record is from RNAcentral.